RNAcentral lists this ribosomal RNA (167 nucleotides) under uncultured bacterium. Its description in RNAcentral is "partial 16S rRNA". It matches the Rfam family "Bacterial small subunit ribosomal RNA", at positions 338 to 522 of the family's 1533-position model. The record is from RNAcentral.
CCUACGGGGGGCGGCAGUAGGGAAUAUUGGUAAUGGGCGAAAGCCUGAACCAGCAACGCCGCGUGAGCGAUGAAGGCCUUCGGGUUGUAAAGCUCUUUUGGAGGGGAUGAGGAAGGACAGUACCCUUCGAAUAAGCCUCGGCUAACUACGUGCCAGCAGCCCCGGUC